Molecule: non-coding RNA, 192 nt
Organism: Camelina sativa (false flax)
Lineage: Eukaryota; Viridiplantae; Streptophyta; Magnoliopsida; Brassicales; Brassicaceae
Source: RefSeq, a predicted model, not a curated record
AAGAUAGCUAUUGUAAAUCUGCUUCAACACAGAUCAAUUAUCUCUCUAAUCGGAAAUGUUCAGAGAUCAUCAUUCAUAUUAGAGAAGGGCUUCCGGGUUCUGCGAACCAAUGGAAUUAAUGUCCAGAUGAUCUCCCAAGGUGCAUCUAAGGUAAACAUCUCAUUGAUAGUGAAUGAUGAUGAGGCGGAGCAU